This 243-nucleotide long non-coding RNA is filed under the name Vicia faba (fava bean). Lineage: Eukaryota; Viridiplantae; Streptophyta; Magnoliopsida; Fabales; Fabaceae. The record is from RNAcentral.
AUGUGUAUCUUGCUAUUGGUAUCAAUCGGUCCUCUCUUUCCUUUUGGUGGCGCAUGCUUAGAUUACCCUUAUUCUUCAUCUUCUCUACCCUUCGGUUGCUUAGGGCGCCCAGAGGGAUUCGCCUCUAGGAGAAUAGUUAUUGAUCACAUAGCUUGGGUACUAGAAGUUGCUGAUCGUAUCAUUCGGGCAGAGCCUGGGUCCCUUAGUAUUAUGUAUAGCGCAACUCCCUCUUUCUUUUGCUAG